Molecule: long non-coding RNA, 965 nt
Filed under: Carassius auratus (goldfish)
Lineage: Eukaryota; Metazoa; Chordata; Actinopteri; Cypriniformes; Cyprinidae
Description: lncRNA (ENSCARG00000058927.1)
Source: RNAcentral
AUUUUUUUCUGUUCUCUUGUUGUUGUGGUUUGUUUCUACUUAAUUUUUUGUUGUUAUUAUUUACCAAUUUUUAUGUUGAUGGUUGUAUUAUUAUAUGUGCACUAUUGAUGUUUGAACAUUGAUUUAAAAAAAGAAAAAGAAAAAAAAAAAAAAAAAAUUGGUCUUACGAUGACGUAACCCGUCAGGCGACGAAAUCCCUGCACUAUAAUUGGCCAAGACACAAGUCAAUCAUAACGCCCGUCUCGGUCUCUUCCGGCUGUGUGUCAGCCCUUCUGCAGCAGCAGCAGCAGCAUCCCUGCCAAAGAGAAGCGAAAUCCAGCCAGCAUCACAGGUGUCUCUGUUUCGGACGUGGUUGUUUUAACAGGUCUCUAGAGACAAGAAAAGGCAAAGAGAGACCAUGUUUUAGAGACCCCCGUGUUGGCAGCCCAUUCUCUACAAUGAACAAUGAAGAUGAGUUCUAUGAUGCCGUCACAGGUGAGACAUUUUCAUGGCACGUGAUGGUAGAGCUGCUACAAAAAAAUAAUCAGUAGUUUAGGUAUUUAAUUAAGUGUCCAUCUUUGUCUAUUCUCACUGCUUUUUUGCAACUGUUUAGCAUCGUAAUCACAGACAUUGUGCACAUUAUUGUAGUGGUUUGAGUCAAAAAGGUACCAAAUAUUAAAUCCUAAAAGAGGUUAACUGCUAGAUUCGUGAUCAGAAGUUGUUUAUAACGUCACCUCUGUGACACAAGCUCGUCAUGAAACCAUUGCCAUUCUCUCAGCACUAUCCAAGUUCACACACAGCAGCAUUAAACAGCUGUGUUUUCUGAGGACGAUCUCAUUUGUCCCCUAUUGUGAGUGUUUUGGCCACUGUUGAUUUGGCCUUCAGUCUUGUGUGUUCAUGCAACGCAGCAAGCUGUUCUGGUGUCCGCUUACCACCGUCUGUUGAUGGCUUCAAUUAUGUGGUGCUGUGUUCAGAUGGUCUGAUGG